Alexandromys fortis (reed vole) is the source of this 129-nucleotide small nucleolar RNA. RefSeq annotates it as small nucleolar RNA SNORA38. The transcript has a single exon. NCBI's taxonomy places the organism in Eukaryota, Metazoa, Chordata, Mammalia, Rodentia, Cricetidae. The record is from RefSeq and is a predicted model, not a curated record.
UCCUCCUGCAAAGGCGUGUUUUGGGCUCCUUGUUCUUGACACGUAAGAAUCGGAGGCAGAAAAAUGUGGAUUUGCAAAGUCUGAGACCGGCUUGAUCCAUUCAAGCUCUGGAUCAUCCAUCCCACAGAG